AGUGAACGCUGGCGGUAGGCCUAACACAUGCAAGUCGAACGGCAGCACAGUAAGAGCUUGCUCUUACGGGUGGCGAGUGGCGGACGGGUGAGGAAUACAUCGGAAUCUACUUUUUCGUGGGGGAUAACGUAGGGAAACUUACGCUAAUACCGCAUACGACCUACGGGUGAAAGCAGGGGAUCUUCGGACCUUGCGCGAUUGAAUGAGCCGAUGUCGGAUUAGCUAGUUGGCGGGGUAAAGGCCCACCAAGGCGACGAUCCGUAGCUGGUCUGAGAGGAUGAUCAGCCACACUGGAACUGGGACACGGUCCAGACUCCUACGGGAGGCAGCAGUGGGGAAUAUUGGACAAUGGGCGCAAGCCUGAUCCAGCCAUACCGCGUGGGUGAAGAAGGCCUUCGGGUUGUAAAGCCCUUUUGUUGGGAAAGAAAAGCAGCAGGUUAAUACCCCGCUGUUCUGACGGUACCCAAAGAAUAGGCACCGGCUAACUUCGUG
Molecule: ribosomal RNA, 492 nt
Filed under: uncultured bacterium
Lineage: Bacteria
Description: partial 16S ribosomal RNA
Rfam family: Bacterial small subunit ribosomal RNA
Source: RNAcentral